RNAcentral lists this ribosomal RNA (736 nucleotides) under Pseudoalteromonas sp. Its description in RNAcentral is "bacterial SSU rRNA". It matches the Rfam family "Bacterial small subunit ribosomal RNA", at positions 72 to 804 of the family's 1533-position model. The record is from RNAcentral. Lineage: Bacteria; Pseudomonadati; Pseudomonadota; Gammaproteobacteria; Alteromonadales; Pseudoalteromonadaceae.
AAAGUAGCUUGCUACUUUGCUGACGAGCGGCGGACGGGUGAGUAAUGCUUGGGAACAUGCCUUGAGGUGGGGGACAACAGUUGGAAACGACUGCUAAUACCGCAUAAUGUCUACGGACCAAAGGGGGCUUCGGCUCUCGCCUUUAGAUUGGCCCAAGUGGGAUUAGCUAGUUGGUGAGGUAAUGGCUCACCAAGGCAACGAUCCCUAUCUGGUUUGAGAGGAUGAUCAGCCACACUGGGACUGAGACACGGCCCAGACUCCUACGGGAGGCAGCAGUGGGGAAUAUUGCACAAUGGGCGCAAGCCUGAUGCAGCCAUGCCGCGUGUGUGAAGAAGGCCUUCGGGUUGUAAAGCACUUUCAGUCAGGAGGAAAGGUUAGUAGUUAAUACCUGCUAGCUGUGACGUUACUGACAGAAGAAGCACCGGCUAACUCCGUGCCAGCAGCCGCGGUAAUACGGAGGGUGCGAGCGUUAAUCGGAAUUACUGGGCGUAAAGCGUACGCAGGCGGUUUGUUAAGCGAGAUGUGAAAGCCCCGGGCUCAACCUGGGAACUGCAUUUCGAACUGGCAAACUAGAGUGUGAUAGAGGGUGGUAGAAUUUCAGGUGUAGCGGUGAAAUGCGUAGAGAUCUGAAGGAAUACCGAUGGCGAAGGCAGCCACCUGGGGUCAACACUGACGCUUCAUGUACGAAAGCGUGGGGGAGCAAACAGGAUUAGAUACCCUGGUAGUCCACGCCGUA